Molecule: ribosomal RNA, 253 nt
Filed under: uncultured bacterium
Lineage: Bacteria
Description: partial 16S ribosomal RNA
Rfam family: Bacterial small subunit ribosomal RNA
Source: RNAcentral
UACGUAGGGUGCAAGCGUUAAUCGGAAUUACUGGGCGUAAAGCGUGCGCAGGCCGCUAUGUAAGACAGAUGUGAAAUCCCCGGGCUUAACCUGGGAACUGCAUUUGUGACUGCAUGGCUAGAGUACGGCAGAGGGGGAUGGAAUUCCGCGUGUAGCAGUGAAAUGCGUAGAUAUGCGGAGGAACACCGAUGGCGAAGGCAAUCCCCUGGGCCGGUACUGACGCUCAUGCACGAAAGCGUGGGGAGCAAACAGG